Caenorhabditis elegans is the source of this 210-nucleotide non-coding RNA. The record is from Ensembl. NCBI's taxonomy places the organism in Eukaryota, Metazoa, Nematoda, Chromadorea, Rhabditida, Rhabditidae.
UUUCAUCGGUCAAAUGAUCCCGAUCAUUCUUCUUCUCUGAAAAGAACGUCAAAGCAGUACGUCAUAUUCAAUCAAUACAUUUUAUUGAGAAAAAUUCGAAAAAAAGCAACGAGAGGGAAGUUAGUACAAUUGAGGAGUUGAACAUAUUUUAGACUUAGGUUAGACUGUAUACAAACACAUGACUUAUAAUAAAAGCUCGAUUCUCAGUAU